Chroicocephalus ridibundus (black-headed gull) is the source of this 1215-nucleotide long non-coding RNA. RefSeq lists it as uncharacterized. The record is from RefSeq and is a predicted model, not a curated record. The transcript is spliced from 4 exons. NCBI's taxonomy places the organism in Eukaryota, Metazoa, Chordata, Aves, Charadriiformes, Laridae.
ACAACUAUACGUGCUGCAUCUAGUCUCCCGUCUUUGUCAUUUUUUAGCUGCUAAUACAGACAAGCUACUUGUAUCUUUGACUAAAUCAAUAUAGCUGGUUUUACAUGCUCUGGGGCACUCUGCCAUUCUUUUUAGUGCCUCUGAAGCCUUUCAAAGAAGCCUACAACCUCUUCAUCUGCUGCCACCAUUCUAUUUGCGCUGCAGCUUUUCAGAACAGAUGUUUGGAACUGGAAGCUGUCACAGCUAGAAAAAGUGAAGCUCCUUCUCUUGGCUGACGCAGUGGAGGACAAAUUACUGCAUUAUAGAAAACCUGUCAAGGAAUUCGCUGUAUUAGAGCUGAGAGAAGCAUGUGUGGGAGCUGAAGGAGAAGGAGAAGAAAGAGCCAGCAUUUCAGUAGUCCAUGAAAAUCCUCAUGGAAUUUAAGAAGUGUCAUUAACCAAAAGCCAAAGCUGACCUGUGUGAAUGAAGUACCAUGGAUGUGAUGAAACUGAUAUCAGCCAACAGUGGUGGAGAUUAACUGGAUCUGUACAGCCAGUUCAGUACCCAAUGAGAACAGAGCACAACAACAUGAGGCUUCUUAGGAUGAACAAAAAAAUGGAUAGAAAUAUUCAGGGAAAAGUCAGUGUGAACUUCUCCGGACUGCCACGACUUCUCAGAUAUGAUGGAACGUGGCUUAGUAACUUCACCAGCCAGUUCCCUCAGGACCCAUGGAUGCAUCUCAUCCGGCCCCAUGGAUAUGUGCACCUUCAGGUUUCUUAGAUAGUCUUGAACCUGAUCUUUUCCUACAGUGGGCCGUUCUUCAUUAUCCCAGUCCCUGCCUUUGCCUUCUGCUGUCGCUAGAGCACUUACCUGUGAAGAGUGAGGCAAAAAUAUAUAUAAUAAUUGGCCACAUAUGCACUGUAUAUUUAUGAGUCUAAUGAAGAACAUAAUCCAAAAGUAUCUUCUAAAGAUAUUUUAAAGUUGAUGUUGGUCCAGUACUUUGUUAUUUAGUGCUGCAACUAACUCAAGGUCAUACAUUUUAAGGGAGUACCAAAACAUUUGUGAAAGUUUCAACGAGUUUUGACAGGAUUUGUAGGUGUUUGCAACAUAUUUAUGAAUAUUUUGGAGGAGAUUUAUGGGUUUGUAUUUGAUGAUCAUUUGUAAAUCUGAAAAGUGUACAUUACUAUUACAAUAGUGUAUUCAGUUUUGGAAUGAAAAAUCCUAAACUGCAGUUUA